This 457-nucleotide ribosomal RNA is filed under the name uncultured Geobacillus sp. Its description in RNAcentral is "bacterial SSU rRNA". It matches the Rfam family "Bacterial small subunit ribosomal RNA", at positions 923 to 1382 of the family's 1533-position model. Lineage: Bacteria; Bacillati; Bacillota; Bacilli; Caryophanales; Anoxybacillaceae. The record is from RNAcentral.
GCACAAGCGGUGGAGCAUGUGGUUAAUUCGAAGCAACGCGAAGAACCUUACCAGGUCUUGACAUCCCCUGACAACCCAAGAGAUUGGGCGUUCCCCUUCGGGGGACAGGGUGACAGGUGGUGCAUGGUUGUCGUCAGCUCGUGUCGUGAGAUGUUGGGUUAAGUCCCGCAACGAGCGCAACCCUCGCCUCUAGUUGCCAGCAUUCGGUUGGGCACUCUAGAGGGACUGCCGGCGACAAGUCGGAGGAAGUGGGAUGACGUCAAAUCAUCAUGCCCCUUAUGACCUGGGCUACACACGUGCUACAAUGGGCGGUACAAAGGGCUGCGAACCCGCGAGGGGGAGCCAAUCCCAAAAAGCCGCUCUCAGUUCGGAUUGCAGGCUGCAACUCGCCUGCAUGAAGCCGGAAUCGCUAGUAAUCGCGGAUCAGCAUGCCGCGGUGAAUACGUUCCCGGGCCUU